RNAcentral lists this long non-coding RNA (2920 nucleotides) under Homo sapiens (human). Its description in RNAcentral is "HSALNT0310961". The record is from RNAcentral. Lineage: Eukaryota; Metazoa; Chordata; Mammalia; Primates; Hominidae.
GGACACUAAGUUAACAACUAUCCAUAUGGAAAAAACACCUUCACGAGAACCAAAAAUCAGGAUAUUCUAUCACUCUAACUGAUGGAAGUUCUUCAAGGAAGCUUUUCUCACAACUUACCUUUUUCUUCUAGCAAAGGGACCAUUUGGUCAUAACAAAGACAUUCCUGGGGAAGGAGUGAGAAGCAGAGCACAAUCGUCAAGUCUCUUUCUUUCAACCUGCUGAUAAACCACACUGCUGUUCCAACUCCUGCAAAUCCAGCUUUGCCAAGAACUUUGUGUGCUUUCCACAGCAGGUGGUCUUUCUUAAGUCAUUUUCCAGAGGAGAAGCCAGCUGCCCUCUCUUGACAUAGCCAUGUGAAGAUGCUCAAGUACUGAAGAUCCUAAGCCUGCCAACAAACAUGUGAGUAGGUUCAGAAAUAAAUCACCUUUUCUACACUCUUCCAUUGGAGACUUCAGUAAGACCACAGCUUCAGGUAACUGGUUGACUAUAAUUUCAUGAAACAUCUUAAGCCAUAGGCACUCAAAUAAGCAUCACCCACAUUCUUGGCCUAUGAAAUAGUAAAUGUUUGUUGUUUUAAACUAUUAAAUGUCAAAGUAAUUUGUUAUGCUGUAAGAGACAACUAAUAUAACUUUAUUCACCAUUGUCUCAUAGGUCCUAAAAUGUGAAGUAAGAUAAGAAAAGAUGCCAUCAUUGAGCAUAUAAAACAUGAGUACAUUUAUUACAGUUGCAGGUUACAAGUUAAACACACAAAGAUCACUCACAUUAUAUUAAAUAGAUAUGGCUAUAAAUAUAUAUUAGCAAUAAACAAUUCAAAAGUAAAAUUUAAAACUGAUCAAAAAGCACUCAUGAUAAAGGAAGAUGAAGCACUGAUUGAUAAAAAUUGAAAUAAUUUUUUUAUCAUCAUAAAAAUUAAGAAGUUUUGUUUACCAAAAUACAUUGUUAAAUGAGUGAAAGGCUGGCCAGUGACUAAAAGAAUAUAUUUUAAUCCAAAUUCUGCAUACAAGAAAUUUAUGCAAAAUAUAUAAAGAACACAUACAAACUGAAAGCCAACAGAUAGUUCCCCCAUUUAAAAAUAGCCUAAAGUCUUGAAUAAGCACUUCCCAGCAAAGGACAUUGAAAUAGCAAAUAAAUGCAUGAAAAUUGCUUAACAUUAUUAGUCAUCAGAGAAUUGCAAAUCAAAACUCCAAUGAGAUACCAUACAUAACAACAAAAUGACUACAAUUAAAAAAAAAUAAAAUGUUGCAAUACAAAACGAUGGUGACAGUAUGAACAGCUGGAACUCUCAGCUACUCCUGGUGAGAAUGUCAAUGUAUACAGCCACUUUAGGAAACUGUUGGCAGUAUCCUUCAAAGUUGUGCGUAUACCUACUUUUUCAUCUAGCAACUCCACUUUUACAUGUAUACUCCAAAGAAAAACUCAGAUAUGUACAUCAAUUGACAUGUAAAAGAAUUUUAAUAACUGCAUUAUAAAUAAGUGCCACAAACUGGAAGCAAACUGAGAGCAAUCAGUAGUAGAAUGGAUAAAUUAUGAUAUGUUCACGCAAUUGCAUACGAUCCACCAAAGAAAAUGGGUAAUUUAUUGUUGUAAAAGUAAGCUGAAUGAAUUUCAAAAUUAUUACGUUGAUUGAAAGAAACCAGACAUAAAAUAGUACACGGUAGUAUCCCAUUUUAAAAAGUGAAAAACCAGUGAAAACGAAUCCACAGUGUUAGAAGUUAGAAUAGUUUUUAUAUUCUGUGGUUGAUAAUCACGAGGGGUAGAAACAUGAGAGAGACUUUUGGGAUGUUGUAAUCUUUUAUUUAUUGUUCUAUGUGGUGGUCACAUAAAUGAGUUUAUUUUGUGAGAACGUAUGAAGACCUACCAAUUAAUGCACUUUUCUUAAUGUACAUUACACUUCAGUAAAUGUUGACUUAAACAUUUUUCUUAAAUCUCUUAAUUUUUCUUGUCAGAGUAAAUACAUUAAGUCAAAAGGCAGAAGCAGUAAGCUUAGAAUGCACAGUGCCAGGUAAAAUGAGGGUCCUACCUAAGUGCGAAGGGAACUCUGGCAAAGUCAAACCUGCUUGCCUGUCCCACCUAAAUGAGCCAGUCCGUCAGCUUCAGCCCAUGAUAGCUUCUUAAGAGCGUCCACCAGCCUUGACACAGUUUUUAGUCUUUCAAAGAAAGUCAGCAAUUCGCAGUUUUAUGUAAGAUCUGCUGAGUUAAUUUUUUUAAAACCACUUUACUGAGCUGUUAUUGACAUGUAAAAAGCUGUACAUAUUUAAUAUAUGUAACUGGAGGAGUCUGGGGUAAGUACACACCGUGAAACCAUCACCACCAUCAAGACUGUAAACAUGUCCCUCACCUCCCAGUUUCCUCUUACUUCUUCUUCAUUAUUAUUAUUAUUAUUAUUAUUGUUAAUACUAUUUAUGGUAAGAACACAACACAAAAAUCUAUCCUCUUAGCAAAAUUUAAGUAUACAAUACAAUAUUGUUACAUAUAGGCAUUAUGAUGUAUAGUAGAUCUCCAGAAUUUAUUUACCUUGUAUAACCAAAAUGUUGUACCCUUUGACCAUCAUCACCCUACUUCUCUCUACCGCCAGCCCCUGAAAACCACCAUUCUUCUCUCUGCUUCUGCAAGUUUGACUACUUUACAUUCCACAUAUAAGUGGGAUCAUACAGUAUUUGUCUUUCUGUGUCUGGCUUAUUGCUGUUAGAAUAAAGUCCUCCAGACCCAUCUAUGUGAUUGCAAAUUGAAGGAUUUCUUUCUUCUUUCAGGCUGAAUAAUACAUCCAUUGUAUGUAAGUACCACAUUUUCUGAAUCCAUUCAUCCAUCCAUAAGCAUUUAGGUCGUUUCCAUGUGUUGACUUUAGUGAAUAAUGCUACAAUGAAUAUGAGAGUAUAGGUAUCUCUUUGAGAUCCUGAUUUCAAUUCUUUGGAUGGAUAA